Molecule: ribosomal RNA, 711 nt
Filed under: Pelagodinium bei
Lineage: Eukaryota; Dinophyceae; Suessiales; Suessiaceae
Description: eukaryotic LSU rRNA
Rfam family: Eukaryotic large subunit ribosomal RNA
Source: RNAcentral
CUAAAUAGGAUUCCCUUAGUAAUGGCGAACGAACCAGGGAUGAGCUCGGCUUGGAAACUGGGGCCUCGGCCUUGGAUUGUAGCCUUUAGACAUAGUGCCAUCGGAGGCGCAGGUGCAAGCCUCUUGGAAAAGAGCAUCAAUGUGGGUGAGAAUCCUGUGUUUCACUUGCAGUCCACCGUGCACGGCACAUGUUCUCAGAGUCGCGUUCCUCGGAAUUGGAGCGUAAAGUGGGUGGUAAAUUUCAUCUAAAGCUAAAUAUAGGCUUGAGACCGAUAGCAAACAAGUACCAUGAGGGAAAGAUGAAAAGGACUUUGAAAAGAGAGUUAAAAGUGCUUGAAAUCGCUGAAAGGGAAGCGAAUGGAACCAGUCUUCUGGCUGAGAUUGUUGCGUGCUACUGUGAUCCCUGGCUGCUUCAACGCAAGUGUGGCAGUUAGAGUUGAUCAGCUGUGCGUGAUGUUUCUCAGCUUGUUAGUCAACCUUUGUUCGUGCUUGGGGAUAACUGCGGGUUCCAUGUUCUUCUCUGCGGAGUUGAGUUCGUGCCUGUAAGGACUCAGGUGUGUACAAUUGGUGACAAAAUGGUUCUCUUCGACCCGUCUUGAAACACGGACCAAGGAGUCUAGCACAUGUGCAAGUUCACAGGGGGCAAGCCUGCUUGCGCAAUGAAGGUGACAUUUGGGAUAUUUGCACCAGCAUCCGGACCAAUCCCUCGAG